RNAcentral lists this transfer RNA (75 nucleotides) under Ligilactobacillus salivarius. RNAcentral describes it as "tRNA-Ile". It matches the Rfam family "tRNA". From Rfam's summary of the family: Transfer RNA (tRNA) molecules are approximately 80 nucleotides in length. Their secondary structure includes four short double-helical elements and three loops (D, anti-codon, and T loops). Further hydrogen bonds mediate the characteristic L-shaped molecular structure. tRNAs have two regions of fundamental functional importance: the anti-codon, which is responsible for specific mRNA codon recognition, and the 3' end, to which the tRNAs corresponding amino acid is attached (by aminoacyl-tRNA synthetases). tRNAs cope with the degeneracy of the genetic code in two manners: having more than one tRNA (with a specific anti-codon) for a particular amino acid; and 'wobble' base-pairing, i.e. permitting non-standard base-pairing at the 3rd anti-codon position. Lineage: Bacteria; Bacillati; Bacillota; Bacilli; Lactobacillales; Lactobacillaceae. The record is from RNAcentral.
GGGCCUAGAGCCCAGCUGGUUUAGAGCGCACGCCGGAUAAGCGUGAGGUCGAUGGUUCGAGUCCAUUUAGGCCCA